This 951-nucleotide long non-coding RNA is filed under the name Homo sapiens (human). RNAcentral describes it as "HSALNT0377817". The record is from RNAcentral. Lineage: Eukaryota; Metazoa; Chordata; Mammalia; Primates; Hominidae.
CCUCAAGUCCUCAGACCGACCAGCCCAAGAAACAUCUCACCAAUUUCAAAUCCGAUCUUCUCAGCUUAGCAGCUGAAGACUGACACUGCCCGAUCACCUCAGAAGCCUACAAGACUAUCACAGAUGCUCUAGGUAACUCUCACAGUGGAAAGUAAGUCCGUCCCCUUCUUAAUCAAUACGGAGGCUACCCACUCCACAUUACCUUCUUUUCAAAGGCCUGUUUCCCUUGCCUCCAUAACUGUUGUGCUAUUGACGGCCAGGCUUCUAAACCUCUUAAAACUCCCCAACUCUGGCGCCAACUUAGACAAUACUCCUUUAAGCACUCCUUUUUAGUUAUCCCCACCUGCCCAGUUCCCUUACUAGGCCGAGACACUUUAACUAAAUUAUCUGCUUCCCUGACUAUUCCUGGGCUACAGCCACACCUCAUUGCCACCUUUUCCCCCAGUUCAAAGCCUCCUUCACAUCCUCCCCUUGUAUCUCCCCACCUUAACCCACAAGUAUAAGAUACCUCUACUCCCUCCUUAGUGACCGAUCAUGCAUCCCUUACCAUCUCAUUAAAACCUAAUCACCCUUACCCCGCUCAAUGCCAAUAUCCCAUCCCACAGCACGCUUUGAAAGGAUUAAAGCCUGUUAUCACUCGCCUGCUACAGCAUGGCCUUUUAAAGCCUAUGAACUCUUCUUACCAUUCCCCCAUUUUACCUGUCCUAAAACCAGACAAGCCUUACAAGUUAGUUCAGAAUCUGCACCUUAUCAACCAAAUUGUUCUGCCUAUCCACCCGUGGUGCCAAACCCAUACUCAAUACCUCCCUCUACUACCCAUUAUUCUGUUCUAGAUCUCAAACAUGCUUUCUUUACUAUUCCUUUGCACCCUUCAUCCCAGCCUCUCUUUGCUUUCACUUAGACUGACCCUGACACCCAUUAGGCUCAGCAAAUUACCUGGGCUGUAGUGCC